This 505-nucleotide ribosomal RNA is filed under the name uncultured Geobacter sp. RNAcentral's name for it is "bacterial SSU rRNA". It matches the Rfam family "Bacterial small subunit ribosomal RNA", at positions 335 to 831 of the family's 1533-position model. Lineage: Bacteria; Pseudomonadati; Thermodesulfobacteriota; Desulfuromonadia; Geobacterales; Geobacteraceae. The record is from RNAcentral.
ACUCCUACGGGAGGCAGCAGUGGGGAAUUUUGCGCAAUGGGGGAAACCCUGACGCAGCAACGCCGCGUGAGUGAUGAAGGCCCUUGGGUCGUAAAGCUCUGACAGAGGGAAAGAAAUGCAGGGGAGCUAAUAUCUCCCUUGCUUGACGGUACCCUCAAAGGAAGCACCGGCUAACUCCGUGCCAGCAGCCGCGGUAAUACGGGGGGUGCAAGCGUUGUUCGGAUUUAUUGGGCGUAAAGCGCGUGUAGGCGGUUUUAUAAGUCUGAUGUGAAAGCCCUGGGCUCAACCCGGGAAGUGCAUUGGAUACUGUAAGACUUGAAUACGGGAGAGGGCAGUGGAAUUCCUAGUGUAGGAGUGAAAUCCGUAGAUAUUAGGAGGAACACCGGUGGCGAAGGCGGCUGCCUGGACCGAUAUUGACGCUGAGACGCGAAAGCGUGGGUAGCAAACAGGAUUAGAUACCCUGGUAGUCCACGCCGUAAACGAUGAGAACUAGGUGUCGCGGGUA